RNAcentral lists this ribosomal RNA (465 nucleotides) under Vreelandella stevensii. RNAcentral describes it as "partial 16S ribosomal RNA". It matches the Rfam family "Bacterial small subunit ribosomal RNA", at positions 338 to 795 of the family's 1533-position model. Lineage: Bacteria; Pseudomonadati; Pseudomonadota; Gammaproteobacteria; Oceanospirillales; Halomonadaceae. The record is from RNAcentral.
CCUACGGGAUGCAGCAGUGGGGAAUAUUGGACAAUGGGCGAAAGCCUGAUCCAGCCAUGCCGCGUGUGUGAAGAAGGCCUUCGGGUUGUAAAGCACUUUCAGUGGGGAAGAAAGCCUUGGGGCUAAUACCCUCGAGGAAGGACAUCACCCACAGAAGAAGCACCGGCUAACUCCGUGCCAGCAGCCGCGGUAAUACGGAGGGUGCGAGCGUUAAUCGGAAUUACUGGGCGUAAAGCGCGCGUAGGCGGUCUGAUAAGCCGGUUGUGAAAGCCCCGGGCUCAACCUGGGAACGGCAUCCGGAACUGUCAGGCUAGAGUGCAGGGGAGGAAGGUAGAAUUCCCGGUGUAGCGGUGAAAUGCGUAGAGAUCGGGAGGAAUACCAGUGGCGAAGGCGGCCUUCUGGACUGACACUGACGCUGAGGUGCGAAAGCGUGGGUAGCAAACAGGAUUAGAUACCCCGGUAGUC